Molecule: transfer RNA, 51 nt
Filed under: Lophiola americana
Lineage: Eukaryota; Viridiplantae; Streptophyta; Magnoliopsida; Dioscoreales; Nartheciaceae
Description: partial tRNA-Phe
Rfam family: tRNA
About the family: Transfer RNA (tRNA) molecules are approximately 80 nucleotides in length.
Source: RNAcentral
GUCGGGGUAGCUCAGUUGGUAGAGCAGAGGACUGAAAAUCCUCGUGUCACC